UGAUAUGGGAAAGUUCUUACUCUUUGGUGG
RNAcentral lists this non-coding RNA (30 nucleotides) under Rattus norvegicus (Norway rat). Lineage: Eukaryota; Metazoa; Chordata; Mammalia; Rodentia; Muridae. The record is from RNAcentral.